This 433-nucleotide ribosomal RNA is filed under the name uncultured bacterium. Its description in RNAcentral is "partial 16S ribosomal RNA". It matches the Rfam family "Bacterial small subunit ribosomal RNA", at positions 29 to 507 of the family's 1533-position model. The record is from RNAcentral.
AACGAACGCUGGCGGCAUGCCUAACACAUGCAAGUCGAACGAGACGUUCGGGUCUAGUGGCGCACGGGUGCGUAACGCGUGGGAACCUGCCCUUAGGUUCGGAAUAACUCCCCGAAAGGGGUGCUAAUACCGGAUAAUGUCUUCGGACCAAAGAUUUAUCGCCUUUGGAUGGGCCCGCGUUGGAUUAGCUAGUUGGUAGGGUAAAAGCCUACCAAGGCGACGAUCCAUAGCUGGUCUGAGAGGCUGAUCAGCCACACUUGGACUGAGACACGGCCCAGACUCCUACGGGAGGCAGCAGUGGGUAAUAUUGCACCAUGGGCGAAAGCCUGAUCCAGCAAUGCCGCGUGAGUGAUGAAGGCCUUAGGGUUGUAAAGCUCUUUUACCCGGGAUGAUAAUGACAGUACCGGGAGAAUAAGCUCCGGCUAACUCCGUG